GGUUAGAAAUGAACUAGAUGGCAAAGUGGUAAAUACCACUUAGUUGGAGGAUAAAAGAGACCAUAAACAUCACUUGCAUGUGAACAUAAGGCCAUGUUUGGUGGAAGACUUACAAAAAUCAGAAUUUAUGAGAAAAGAGCUUAAGAGCAUGGAGGAGAAAGAAGAGCUUAUGUUCAUCCUUUGCAUUUUCGCAACCCAUGGACAGCCUCCACUAAAAGUGCCAUAACUCUCUGCUCACAGCUCCGAUUGAGGUUUGAAGUGGAGUGAUCCAUGCUGAGUUUGUGUGUGAAUGCAGCUGCGAAUUUGAUGAUGAAGAAGGUGAACCUUUGGGCAAGAGUGGAGUUCAAAGGCUGCAUUAACACCAUCUAAACCUCUAUUAAUCCAAGGUGCAGUUAGUAGCGUUUGGUCAGUAACAGGUUUGGACUGGAGACUUGGAAGUGGUGUUGGCUCGAAGACCUCGUUGGUUUUGACAUUCCGCUGUGCAAGAUCCAUUGAAGACACAUGUUUUGUAAUUAUUAUUAUUAUUUCAUGUUGUAAUCUAAAUGGAUCAUCUUGUAUCCAUAGCUUUUGUAUGUACUCAAUAUCAAUUUUAACGUUUCAUGCAUGAUAUACUAGUCAGUUAUGUAUGGGGUGUUACAGUUGGUAUCAGAGCAGGUCGAUUCUCGGCCGAGCCAUGAGACAUCACUAGCGAUUCCUUUUCCUCCUCUCAAGUGUGUGUUGCCAGCCUGAUUUUACUGACAUCUCAUUCAGUUGUUGAACUUGAUCAACUCAUUGACUGAGUGUGAGACAGUAGGAUUACGGCAGAGCCGCCACGAGGACUCGAUACCUGUAAGAUUGUGAACCCAAGUAGCAAGGAUCGGUUGGGUGGUGAAUUGUAUAUGGAAGUUGGAUUUAUUAAACGAUGUAAGUAGAAGGGAUAUUGGAGUUGUCAGAAGUAAGAGGAGCGUUUUACGCAAAGGAGUAAUACCCGAACUACCAAGGUGUUGAGCUGUGAAUUAGUAGGAUUUAGUAAUGAUGAUGCUUCCGGUGUUAAGUGCGACUGAUGAGCUGAUAGGACAGAAUGGCCUCUGGAAAUGCGGACAGAAGAGUUAGACCUUUCUAAUUGCGCUGGUACGGACAAUAAUUGGAUGGAUGAAGUAUUAGAUCUUGAUUUAACUCGAAGUACCCUAAGCGAGAGUAGUUACCUAGUAGAUGUUGGUGGAAUGUACGAGUGUGGUAGCUUAAGAUUGGCGAAGCUUGAUUACCUUGUCGGUGGAAGAGGGCAUGUAUUUCUAUUCUUAUCAUUUUUAUUUAAGUUCUAGAACUACGCUAGAUGGAAUAUGAAAUGAUGUAGAAGCGUGAAAUGCAGUGACCUAAGUUCUUGUUAGUUGUUGUUCGUCUGACCCCGAGUGAAGCCAUAGAACUACGCUUGGCGUUGAGUGUUCAGGCGAGU
Long non-coding RNA from Vicia villosa (hairy vetch), 1432 nucleotides. RefSeq lists it as uncharacterized. The record is from RefSeq and is a predicted model, not a curated record. Lineage: Eukaryota; Viridiplantae; Streptophyta; Magnoliopsida; Fabales; Fabaceae. The transcript has 3 exons.